This 978-nucleotide ribosomal RNA is filed under the name uncultured bacterium. Its description in RNAcentral is "bacterial SSU rRNA". It matches the Rfam family "Bacterial small subunit ribosomal RNA", at positions 85 to 1066 of the family's 1533-position model. The record is from RNAcentral.
ACUUAUGAGAGUAGCGCACGGGUGCGUAACGCGUAUGCAAUCUACCUUUAACUGGGGAAUAGCCCAAAGAAAUUUGGAUUGAUACCGCAUAAUAUAAUUUGAUGGCAUCAUUAGAUUAUCAAAACUACGGUGGUUAAAGAUGAGCAUGCGUGACAUUAGCUAGUUGGUGAGGUAAUGGCUCACCAAGGCUCCGAUGUCUAGGGGGUCUGAGAGGAUGAUCCCCCACACCGGUACUGAGACACGGACCAGACUCCUACGGGAGGCAGCAGUAAGGAAUAUUGGUCAAUGGACGCAAGUCUGAACCAGCCAUGCCGCGUGCAGGAUGACUGCCCUAUGGGUUGUAAACUGCUUUUGUACGGGAAGAAACCCCUCUACGUGUAGAGGGUUGACGGUACCGUAAGAAUAAGGAUCGGCUAACUCCGUGCCAGCAGCCGCGGUAAUACGGAGGAUCCAAGCGUUAUCCGGAUUUAUUGGGUUUAAAGGGUGCGUAGGCGGCCUAUUAAGUCAGUGGUGAAAGCCUGGAGCUUAACUCCAGAACUGCCAUUGAUACUGAUGGGCUUGAGUACAGUUGAGGUUGGCGGAAUGUGUCAUGUAGCGGUGAAAUGCUUAGAUAUGACACAGAACACCGAUUGCGAAGGCAGCUAGCUAAACUGUAACUGACGCUGAGGCACGAAAGCGUGGGUAGCAAACAGGAUUAGAUACCCUGGUAGUCCACGCCCUAAACGUUGAUUACUCGAUGUGUGCGAUACACUGUACGCGUCUAAGCGAAAGCAUUAAGUAAUCCACCUGGGGAGUACGGUCGCAAGACUGAAACUCAAAGGAAUUGACGGGGGCCCGCACAAGCGGAGGAGCAUGUGGUUUAAUUCGAUGAUACGCGAGGAACCUUACCCGGGCUUGAAAGUUAGUGAAUGUAGUGGAAACAUUACAGUCCGCAAGGACACGAAACUAGGUGCUGCAUGGCUGUCGUCAGCUCGUGCC